UGACAGAAUAUUUUAAUUAAUUAAUUCUUAUAUUAUUCCAAAAAUAUUAACAUAAUACACAGUUCUUGGUAAAAAUAGUUAUUUUUAACUCAGUAAUAAUGUUUACAAUAUAAUAACACAAAUAGGUUACCAUAAUGUUUACAAUAUAAUAGGUUUGAAGAUAGUAGAGAAAAGUACAUUAUUAUCCUUCCCAUUUUCCAGCCUAUUUUUCGAAAUUUCUACUAUUUAAAAAUGAGAAAAGUGCUUAAUUUCGGAGCACUACCGAAGCACCCCUCUUUAAUUUCCUUCUUCGUGAAGUUUUCUCCUCUUCUUCAUUCCUCUUCAUUGGAUCUCUCUCUCUCUCUAUUCAUUCCAACUCUGCCAAUCUCGAAGGCACUCCACGAGCUGCACCUGCCUUCAGCGCCUCCACCACCACGAACGCCUCUCUGCCGUGAUAUUUAGGCACUGAUCUGACUGCGUGACCUAGAAUGCUGGCAUGGAUUGGAUCAUCCAUCUAGAUACUGAUGAAUUGAUGCAUCCAGCUAGGGCUCUAGAAUAUUCUUUAAGGAGGUUGCUUGCAGAUGUACCUAGCAAUGUUGACAUGGUUAUCUUUCCAAACUAUGAAAGUAGCAUCGAGCGAGAUGACGUAACAGAUCCUUUCAGUGAGGUAAUUUAUGUUACAUUUUGCGUGUGCAAUUUCAAUUCUAGUUCUAUCGAUUAUCUUUAUCAUACCCAAUGCCCUUUUCUUGAUGUUUAACAUGGGUAUUUUGGAUUUUAAAUAAUACAAUAAGUAGGAAAUAAUGAAAACACAACUUGCAAUGGCAUUGUGUAUAUACACACAUUACGCACGUAGAAAUAUAUGUAUUAGUGUCUUGAACCAUGUACGUGCGUAUAUUGGUACCCAUUAAUACAUGCAUAUAAAUUUGCUACUAUGUAGCCGAUUCUCAAAAUAAGCUUAGGACAACUCGGGGAUGUAACUAUUCCUAUUCCAUCACCGACUAUAAAACAAAAAAAAAAGUGUAGAAGAAAGAACAGAGGAAGCACCAAGGAACGGGAAUGUGAACAGGGAUGUCAAAUCCAAAGUAUUCAGUAAGAUGAAAAACCUCAUAUUCCUCCCUUUUUUAUAUAUAUUUUUAGUGCAACUUCUCUAUUCUCUGGCUCUGGGAUUUUUUCGAGCAAACAAA
This is a long non-coding RNA of Asparagus officinalis (garden asparagus), 1163 nucleotides long. RefSeq lists it as uncharacterized. The record is from RefSeq and is a predicted model, not a curated record. NCBI's taxonomy places the organism in Eukaryota, Viridiplantae, Streptophyta, Magnoliopsida, Asparagales, Asparagaceae. The transcript is spliced from 4 exons.